This 202-nucleotide long non-coding RNA is filed under the name Ananas comosus (pineapple). Its description in RNAcentral is "long non-coding RNA (ACOM_LNC011238)". Lineage: Eukaryota; Viridiplantae; Streptophyta; Magnoliopsida; Poales; Bromeliaceae. The record is from RNAcentral.
UUUUUUUUCCUUUUUUUUUUUUUUUUUUUUGAGAGAGAUAGAUGACACGCUACUCGCUUCAUUUAUUUUAUCUAGAAAUAAACUUAGUUGGAAAUCUGAAUCAACUAUGAUUCGAACUUAGGUCUCAAGUACCAACCACCAAACCCUUUGUCAGUUGCUCUAGGGACGGUCGUUACUCUUUAUCCCCAUAUUUUUAUAACGA